This 494-nucleotide ribosomal RNA is filed under the name uncultured bacterium. Its description in RNAcentral is "partial 16S ribosomal RNA". It matches the Rfam family "Bacterial small subunit ribosomal RNA", at positions 28 to 507 of the family's 1533-position model. The record is from RNAcentral.
GAUGAACGCUGGCGGCGUGCCUAAUACAUGCAAGUCGAGCGAACAGACGAGGAGCUUGCUCCUCUGACGUUAGCGGCGGACGGGUGAGUAACACGUGGAUAACCUACCUAUAAGACUGGGAUAACUUCGGGAAACCGGAGCUAAUACCGGAUAAUAUAUUGAACCGCAUGGUUCAAUAGUGAAAGACGGUUUUGCUGUCACUUAUAGAUGGAUCCGCGCCGCAUUAGCUAGUUGGUAAGGUAACGGCUUACCAAGGCAACGAUGCGUAGCCGACCUGAGAGGGUGAUCGGCCACACUGGAACUGAGACACGGUCCAGACUCCUACGGGAGGCGGCAGUAGGGAAUCUUCCGCAAUGGGCGAAAGCCUGACGGAGCAACGCCGCGUGAGUGAUGAAGGUCUUCGGAUCGUAAAACUCUGUUAGGGAAGAACAAAUGUGUAAGUAACUAUGCACGUCUUGACGGUACCUAAUCAGAAAGCCACGGCUAACUACGUG